This 492-nucleotide ribosomal RNA is filed under the name Staphylococcus sp. KSUM_45. Its description in RNAcentral is "bacterial SSU rRNA". It matches the Rfam family "Bacterial small subunit ribosomal RNA", at positions 333 to 816 of the family's 1533-position model. Lineage: Bacteria; Bacillati; Bacillota; Bacilli; Caryophanales; Staphylococcaceae. The record is from RNAcentral.
AAACUCUAUACGGGAGGCAGCAGUAGGGAAUCUACCGCAAUGGGCGAAAGCCUGACGGAGCAACGCCGCGUGAGUGAUGAAGGUCUUCGGAUCGUAAAACUCUGUUAUUAGGGAAGAACAAGGAUGUAAGUAACUAUGCAUCCCUUGACGGUACCUAAUCAGAAAGCCACGGCUAACUACGUGCCAGCAGCCGCGGUAAUACGUAGGUGGCAAGCGUUAUCCGGAAUUAUUGGGCGUAAAGCGCGCGUAGGCGGUUUUUUAAGUCUGAUGUGAAAGCCCACGGCUCAACCGUGGAGGGUCAUUGGAAACUGGAAAACUUGAGUGCAGAAGAGGAAAGUGGAAUUCCAUGUGUAGCGGUGAAAUGCGCAGAGAUAUGGAGGAACACCAGUGGCGAAGGCGACUUUCUGGUCUGCAACUGACGCUGAUGUGCGAAAGCGUGGGGAUCAAACAGGAUUAGAUACCCUGGUAGUCCACGCCGUAAACGAUGAGUGC